RNAcentral lists this ribosomal RNA (393 nucleotides) under uncultured bacterium. RNAcentral's name for it is "partial 16S ribosomal RNA". It matches the Rfam family "Bacterial small subunit ribosomal RNA", at positions 523 to 918 of the family's 1533-position model. The record is from RNAcentral.
CUACGGAGGAUGCAAGCGUUAUCCGGAUUUAUUGGGUUUAAAGGGUGCGUAGGCGGAUGAUUAAGCGUGAGGUGAAAUGCCACUGCUCAACAGUGGAACUGCCUCGCGAACUGGUUGUCUUGAAUGCUCCUGCCGUGGGAGGAAUGUGUAGUGUAGCGGUGAAAUGCUUAGAGAUUACACAGAACACCGAUUGCGAAGGCAUCUCACGAAGGGUUGAUUGACGCUGAGGCACGAAAGCGUGGGGAUCAAACAGGAUUAGAUACCCUGGUAGUCCACGCAGUAAACGAUGAUGGCUAACCGCUGGGCUUAUCAGUUCAGUGGCCAAGCGAAAGCGAUAAGCCAUCCACCUGGGGAGUACGACCGCAAGGUUGAAACUCAAAUGAAUUGACGGGG